Capsicum annuum is the source of this 5659-nucleotide long non-coding RNA. RefSeq lists it as uncharacterized. The record is from RefSeq and is a predicted model, not a curated record. Lineage: Eukaryota; Viridiplantae; Streptophyta; Magnoliopsida; Solanales; Solanaceae. The transcript has 3 exons.
AAGGGCUUCCUUCAUUGUAAAUCAUCCCUCAAAAGAAGAAAUAAGAAUUACUCUCUCUAUUCUGUCUACUCUUGUUCUUUAUUCCUUCUUGUUUUAUAAAAUUUUUUAUAUUUUUCAAUUGAUUUAUUAAAAUCCUAAAUUUCCCCCUUCUCCUUCAUCAUUUCUCAACCGAUUUUCUUCAUUUUUUUUUCCGCAUAUUUUCUCAUCUUUUUUGUUUUUUCAUUUAUCAACAUCAUGGUUUGCUUUAAUUCUAAAGUUGGAUGAUAAACAUGAUAUUUCUAACAUCAGUAGCUGACUAACUUGUUUAUGUAUAUAAUGCAAUGGUCACAACACCAGCAAGAACAAAAAAGAUGAUAGCUUUAGAUUCAAUUUAGUGAUAAAAAUGAAAUCUCGAAAGUAUUUGAGAUUGGACACCGUGUAUGAAACAUCUUUACACAUCAUAAUUAAAGGAAGCUUAUCUAUGGAUAGCGUAUCUAUUCAAGAGGAGAUUUUGUUUUGUUAUAUUAAUUUACGGAUCCGGUGUUGCAGCACAAAAUAGCCGAAGCAGAAACCAUUUAACGCUAUGAAAAAGUUAGAUACGUAUGUGAUUAAAUGUAACCUGAACCCUAUACUCAAAAUAUCAAGCCAUUACAUGAAUAUAUUAGCAUAACCGGUAGAUUGAAUCAGAACAAGCCAUUGCAUGUUUAUAUCAAAGCAACUGACUGACACAGAACUUUUAAUCUUUUAACUUUUUCCCACGGUGAAAUUAUUUUUCCACGUGGCAAUUCACGUGGCAGAUUUUUCCACGUGGCAAAUAUUUUCAAAAGAAAUGGAGAGUAUAACACACACCAUUACAAAUUAGUUGAGGUGUGUUUCUCUAAUUAAUUUGUGAUAGUUUAAAUGUGUUUCUCACACUCUCAAUAGUUUAGAUGUGAAGAUGAAUAAAGAGACUGUGUAGAUGUGUUUUUGACACUUCACUCUAUUAAAUAUCAUGGAGAGGCUUGGUCGACAAGCUAACAAGACUAUACAAGCCUCUUAUAUAUAUUAGUAAUGCUUUAUAAAGUUGAAUCUAUACCUAAUAUAGUUUGUGUCCAUAGAGUACUACUUUAUGUUUUGAAAUAAAUAUACAUUUUCUCCUUUAUGAUACUCUGCUAGUUUGUAAUAUUAACCGAGUAUUAUAGAGAAUUUAGUAAUGGUUUGUUGAAAGCAAUGUAAUUACCAAUAUGGGUUGUGGUGCAGUGGAUGGGACUGCUUGACCCUUAACUAGAGGUUGAGGGUUCGACCCUGGGUAUGGAGAAAACUCUAUUGGGAGCGCUGCCACCUUAAUGGGCCCUGUAAUGAGCGAUUCAAAUUAGUCGGGGCUCCAAUGCGGGCACCAAACACCGAAUAGGAAACUAAAAAGAGAAAGAAAUGUACUUGAUCUUCUGUCAUAUGAUACUCUGUCAGUAUAUUUAUAUGCAGUGGAGGUAUUAUAUAGAAAUUUAUUUACUCCCUCUUCCCAAAUUAUCCGUCCCAAAUUUUCUAAUUUGAUUUCUCAUUUUACUUGUCUUUUUUCAUUAAUCAAGAAGAGAUAAUUUUUUUUUUCAUAUUUUACCUUUUGCAUUAAUUAUUUUUUCUUCAAAUUAAAAUGUAAACAUCAUUUAAUAGGGGUAUUAUGGUAAACUAGACAUGUUAUUAAUUAUUUUUCUUAAUUAAUGUGUCAUCUCAAUUUGGGACAGAUAAUUUGAGACGCAGCGAGUAUAUAGUAAAUAACAUGACAACGAAAUGGAACAUAUCUUUAUUCUAUGCCAUUUUUGUUACUCUUUUUGAUUAUGUGUGUCAUGUGCGUAUUGGAGUCUUUUUAUGAAUGGAAUGAGUUAGUACUUAAUGAAUAUAUUAUCAUUAUAUAUCACAUACUGUGUGGGUACUACAUGUGCUGAUCUUUCUUUGAGGUUGAAUGAAUAAAACAAUGCUCUAUAUUGUACAAUAUCACCAUAUUAGUAAAACAAGCAAUGCCUCUUGUUUCGAUGACGAUUUUGUACGCUAGUUGUGUGUAUAGGUGGGGAAUAUUUAUGUCGUGGAUAUUGACAGCUCCUGUCUUUCACUUUUACAUGUCCAAAUAUUAAAAAUAGAUUUUCAUUUUUACUUGUCAUAUUUAACAUAUUAAAAAAAGAUAAUUAUUAUUAUUUUUUUUCCUAUUGUUAAGUCUUUAGUUUUGAUAAUUGACAAGUUGGAUAUUGGGACCUGGUUCCUAGAGAAUGUGUGAUGAAAAGCUGCAACUACUUAGAGAUCUGAUUGGGACUACGCGUCACUAUCACAGUCAACCACCAGUUGGACGAAAGUACAAAAAGUUGGUGGAAAGCUGUUGCAACCUUUUCUGUCUCAGUCAAUGAGAUUUUCCUAGGUUUUCUUGUGUCAUGCUAUAUAUUGCUCAUAUUCCUCAACAAGAAAACCAAGAUUCCAUAUAUUCACAACAUAUAUCUCUCUUGAAGCUCUUUGAUUCAAGACUUAACUGCAACUAGGGGUGGGCAUAAAUACCGAAAAUCGAAACACCAAACCGAACCAAUUUAAUUUGAUUUUUCGAUUUUGAUUUUUCAGUUUUUUGGUUAGGUGUUCGGUUUAUUUCUUAUAUAAGUUCGGUAUUCAGUUUAGAUUUCGGUUAUGGAGCAUGUAUAAUUCGGUAUUCGAUUAAACCGAAUUAAUAUACAAUUUUCAGGAUCUCUAUACAGCCCAUAUAUUAUUUAGUAUUAAUAAUUUACAUUGGCCCAAUUAGUUUAGGCCCAAUCAGCCACCUAAUGUACCCCAGCCCAAAUUCCCAAAUGUAUUUAGUCUAGCCAUCUAGGUCUCAAUUUACAAGUCACAACUUCACUUAGCAAUUAGCACUAGCAGCAUUAGAAUUUAGCACUUAGCAGUAGUUAGCGACGACGGGGAAAAUCGGAUGGUGAGCGAUGAACGACAGACACCGGACAAUGAGCGACGAACAGUGAACCCACCGGAGUGACGAAUGACUGAUAGGCAGCAACUCAGCAGCGAAUCAGGUAUUAUUUUUUUUUUCUUCUUUUUUUUAAUAUGUUUUUGUUGAUUUUCUGAUUGAGUGAUUCAGUAGAUUGAUUUUUCUGAUUUUCUAAAAUAUGGUCGAUUGUUAAAUAGUAAACACUUUUAAUUUAGUUUUUUCUUUCAAAUUUUACAUAGAUGGCUGAUGAAAGAAGAUUUAGUAUGGCUGGUUCAACUGAUAGUGUACCUGAUAAUAGUAAUGACAACUCAGUUGACACUACGGAUGCAAAGAAAAGGAAAGAAAUGGAAAGUAGAUCUACUGUUUGGGAAUAUUUCGAAAAUAUAUUUGAAAAUGGUAAAUUAGUUAAAGCAUGAUGUUUGCAUUGCCAUCAAAAUUAUGCUGCUAAUACAACUAGAAAUGGAACAAGUGGAUUGAGACAACAUUUGGGUAGAUGCAAAAUGUAUAAGCCCCCGCCCACCCCGUCUAGUGGUCAAACAUUGUUAAACUUUCAAACCAAGGAUUCAUCAGGAGAAUAUUAGAAAUUUGAGCAAGAGGUAGUUAGGAGAGCUUUAGUUGAGAUGAUAAUUGUAGAUGAGCUACCAUUUAGCUUCGUAGAAAAUGAAGGCUUUAAGAAGUUUAUGAGUAAAGCCCAACCUUUGUUUCAGAUUCCUUCUUGUAGAACAAUAACAAGAGAUUACUAUGAUGUUUAUGGUGAAAUGAGACUAAGCUUGAAGAAGUCUUUUAGAGAAAUCCAACCAAGAAUCUGUCUUACAAUAGACAAAUAGACAUCGGUGCAAAAGAUUAACUAUAUGUGUUUGACUGCUCACUUUAUUGAUAGAGAUUGGGUACUUCAUAAAAGAAUUUUGAACUUUUGCCCUAUCACUAGUCAUAAAGGUGAGAAUUUGGCUGAGUGUAUUAGUAAUUGCUUGCUUGAUUGGAAAUUGGACAAUGUGUUCACUGUUACUGUUGACAAUGCUUCUUCAAACAAUGUUACAGUUUCCGUAUUGUCUAAGAAGCUAGAUAUAUGGGGAACCAAUGUGAUGGAUGGUAAACAUCUCCAUGUAAGAUGUGUGGCUCAUAUACUUAAUCUAAUUGUGCAAGAUGGUUUGAAAGAAAUUGGUCCUUUUAUAAAAAAGGUAAGGUAAAUGAUUAAGUAUGUGAGAUCCUCUCCUGCAAGAACAAGAAACUUUACAAAAUAUUGUGAAAUGCAAAAGAUUGAAUGUUCAAAGAUGUUGUCAUUAGAUGUGCCUACUAGGUGGAAUUCUUUACAGGUUCGAUCUUUAUGAUGACAACUUUAAUUCUUAUCUUUCUACUAAUGUUUGUGAAUAUGGUAGUGUUACAGGUUUAAUUCAAAGUGAUGAUUGGUUCAAUGUGAGGAAUGUGAUAAAGUUCCUUGAAAGAUUUUAUGUGCUCACUUUAAAAGUUUCAGGUUUACGGUAUGUCACUUGUAAUGUACAUUUUGAGGAUAUUUGUGAACUUGACUCUUAUUUGAAAGAGUGUAUGACAAGUGAUGAUGUUGAGUUGCGUAAAAUGGCUAUGGGGAUGAAAUAAAAGUUCAAGAAUUAUUGGGGGACUCCUAAAAAGAUAAGCAAAAUGAUUUUUAUUGCUUCUGUGUUGGAUCCUCAUAAUAAAUUUGAGUAUGUUAGCUUUGCUCUUAAAGAGCUAUUGGGGAUAGAAAUGGGAAUGAAAGUAAGUCAUGAAGUAAAAACUUAUUUGAAGAACUUAUUUUCUUUCUAUGUUAUGAAGUAUUCAAAAGGUUCUAAAAAUAAUUCAUCUUCAUCUGGAUACACUUCAUCUGACUCGUCUGGAUCUAAUUCAUCUAAUUCUGGUGUUCCUUAAAGUUUGAACACAAAUACUUUGAGAAAUAAGCUUUACAUGAAGAAAAAGGAAAGAGAUUGUGGUAUUAUCGGGGGUACUAAAUCAGAGUUAGAUAAAUACCUUGGUGAAGAUCAAAAGCCUGUGCCCAAGCCUGGAUGCGAAUCUGAAUGUGAGGAUUUUGAUAUCUUAAAUUGGUGGAAAGUUAAUUCUCCUAGAUUUACUAUCCUUUCACUAUUGGCUCGUGAUGUAUUGACUAUUCCGAUGUCAAGUGUGGCAUCAGAAUGUGCAUUUAGUACUGGUGGUCGUAUUCUUGAUCCAUUUAGAAGUUCGUUGACUUCUAAAUGUGUGCAAUGAGUCAUUUGUGUUCAAGAUUGGCUUAGACAAGAGACUAGUCCUAUUUGUGUGGAAGAAAAUUUAGAGUUUCUUGAGAAACUUGAACUCGAGAUGAUAAAUAGUGGGCGAGAAUCUUCCAUUGUUGAUGUAUGAUUACGGUUUGGUAGUACUUAGUAGUGGUGAUUAUUGGGUCAAGUGAUGCCUUCUAAAUCCAAAGCUCACUCGGCUAUUUGGGAGUACUAUGAGGUAAUUCAAACAAUGAACUAGUGCGCAAGACAAGAUGCUUGAAAUGUGGCUUAAUCCUCAGUUGUCAUCCGAAAACGUAUGGCACAUUGUCUUUGCGCAAGCAUUUGGAGAAAUGUUAUGUGAAGUAUGAAAGACGAGCAAAAUUUACUCUAAUUUUAAACACUUGAGAUGCUUCAACAUAGUUGGUUGAAUUUGUAAUUUUACGACUUGUUGCUACUAUUUUGUCUAUUUGUGGGUUGCGACUGUUUUAGCCUUUUAGGCUGCUACUAUUUUUGCUUUUUAUGCUAUUACUUACUUCUAUUUCAGCUU